Molecule: Y RNA, 108 nt
Filed under: Prolemur simus (greater bamboo lemur)
Lineage: Eukaryota; Metazoa; Chordata; Mammalia; Primates; Lemuridae
Description: Y RNA (ENSPSMG00000002772.1)
Rfam family: Y RNA
About the family: Y RNAs are components of the Ro ribonucleoprotein particle (Ro RNP), in association with Ro60 and La proteins. The Y RNAs and Ro60 and La proteins are well conserved, but the function of the Ro RNP is not known.
Source: Rfam by way of RNAcentral
GGCUGGUCUGAAGGUAGUAAGUUAUCUCACUUGAUUGUUCACAGUCAGUUACAGAUUGAACUUCUACUACUUUUCCCCCUUCUUACGACUACACUUGACUAGCUCAAA